This is a long non-coding RNA of Centrocercus urophasianus (Greater sage-grouse), 6994 nucleotides long. RefSeq lists it as uncharacterized. The transcript is spliced from 3 exons. The record is from RefSeq and is a predicted model, not a curated record. Lineage: Eukaryota; Metazoa; Chordata; Aves; Galliformes; Phasianidae.
UUGGAAAUAUAGGGGAGAACUGGGUGCCUGGGGAAGCAGGGUUGGCUAUGGCAACUGCAGAAAGAUGCUUUCACCUGAGAGGUGCCUGUAUUUGUGAACUCCUUCUUUGAGGACACAACACAGUGGCAUCUGUUACUCUGAUUUGCAGUGGUACCCCUGCUGAUAAGAGAGCCACCUCAUGAUCAAUCCACAAGCCAUGGCUUUCCCCUCCAAAGGUGCAGUUCUUGGUCUUGCUCUCUAUCCUUAGGCCACUCUCCUUCACCUUUUUGCUUAUCUGAGCGAAAGCAAUUUGGAAGGUGCUUUAAGGAUAUGACUUCCCUAACUUGCAGCAGGGUGUUGCUUGCUCAGACUUCCGUGUGAGCUGGAAUAGGUUUAACCAAAAAUACUGUGUAACUCUCCAAGCCUCUGAUGCAUCUUGGUGGCUCUUCAGAGGGCUUCUGUUGCUCUAAUAGCUGAUGGUUGUACAGCUCUUCUUAAAGGUGAUCAACCCUUCUCUCUUUUGCAGAGAUGCAUCUCUGAAGCCGUUCUGAGCAAGCUCAGUUUGACAACAAAUGACAGGUGCUGUGAGGCAGUUCAGGGAAGAGGAGGGAGAUGGAGGAAGCUUUCCUUCAGCCUGCAUGUAUUCUGACCUCUUCUAAAGCCAAAUAUACCCUAAAAGGCAGGUAGUAAAUUUGACCUUCCCCUGUUCUGCUGUAAACUAAUACAUGAUUGUCAUUAUGCAGCUGGUGCAACUUGAAGUUACCAAAAGAACUCCUUACAAACAGUUCCUAUCCCAAUACAAACAGAACUCGUUACUUUAAGAGAAGCUGGGAAUCUGAAGUGGGAGCUGUCAAGCCCAAGGAUGGAGCUGACUGGGAUGUGUGCCCCUGCUACUCUCACACCAGUUCUGGUCUCAUAGAUCAUGGUAGAUACCUCUGCUGGCGUGGCACAGGCACUGCUGUGCUGUAGUGCUGGUGCGUUUGACUCUACUUUUCACUGGGGACAAUGCCCUCCUUUGGCUAGGAAUGAACGAGUAAUUGGGCUUUUAUGUUCUUUUAAAUACCUGGUGUAUGUCUAAUCACCUGGUUAGGAUGAAUGUAAUGGCACCCCCUCGUGGCUUUCAAGCAGAGAGAGACAAAAAAAGAGUGUGUAGUACUGUGCUGCCUGUGGGAGUUGUUGUGCAGAGACUAAGUACAGCUGCCCAACAGAACUGCCUCUAAUGCUGAUAGAAUUGCCUCCAGCAGCUGGAUUGAAAACUGUAAAUCUCUGGGGUAAAGCUGCAAAUGCUUUUGUAUUGACGGUCUGUAGAAACUCUCAUGACAUAAAAGAGCAGAGCAUUUGUCAACCUCAGAUGAGGUACCCUUAUGUACCGCACGGUUGCUUUUGGAUUACUAUAGAAAAGGGGCAUGAUGUUGUUAACAAUGGCACAAUGGUACUGGCUUGGUUUUGGAGCUGCAGCACCUGUGUACUGCUGGCACGUGGAAAGAGUCCCAGCUGCCUGAUCAUUUGAAUAGUCCUUAGCUACAAACUUUGAAAACUUGCCUGUAACAGAGAUUUAACUCAGAAUAAUUUUAGCCAUUCUCUACCUCCUCUGUCCUCUCCAGAUCUGAAAGGCUCGCUUACAAGCUAACAAAAGAAAUAUUGGCCUAGAAAUGCAAGGGUUUUCCUUACUUGCCUCACUAAUGCAUUAUCUGUCUGUAACCAUGCUGUAGCCAGAAGUUACUUCCCAUUUGUACACUUACUCCUGUGUCUGAAAACUUCCCCAGGCAGGAGAUUAUGCUCUGCUGUGGUUUAAUGCCCUGGUAUGGCUGCUUCCUGCAGACCUACUCUGCUGUGGUUUCCACUGAGACACUGAAGAAAACAAACUGCCCCCUCUUGCUGAUGUUGCACAAUGUUUGAGGACUUGAGGUCACUGAGGACAUAAGUGUAACAAACCAGGGGAUAGCUGCAGUGAUUUGUUUUUUCUUCCCUUGCCAGAAAAAGGUGCCUGGAGCACAAGAGGCCUAAAGCCUUCCUGGAGAAUGCUCUAAAGAACAGAAGCACCGCAACCAAGUGAUAUUUCAACCAUCUGCUCCUUCCACACUGACACAAGGGCAGGCCAGUUCCAUGUGAGUGCAGUGAUAGGUGAGCCUUGAUGGAAGUUGCAAAAAGUUUUUAAUUUUCUCGUUCGUUGUCAGACAGUGAUCUUCACAUCACUACACCAAAGGAAAUAAUUUUAACAUAAUUAACUUGAGCUAACGCUGAAACUCCUGGGAGCAGCAUGGUGUUAACUGUUCAGAGAUUUUUAACUUGCUUUUUAUCACGGAUAUAAUAACACUGUUUGAAUUAAGACUUCUUAAUUAAAUGUGACCUGGGUGGCGCUGUGUUCUUAAUUAAACAUGACCUAGGUGACUGUACAGUUAUUAACACCAUGUUCGUUUGCGCUGUGGCUCUGAUAUGCUCUUAGACUCUUCACCCAUCAUUUCACUGGAGGCCAACACAGCAACUUAUAUUUAAAUGCUCUGCAACUUUUCUAUUGCUUGAAUUUGUUCAUUUUUUUAAUGCAUUAUAAAUCAAGAAUAUCAAUAGUGACUUUUGUUCUGGAUCUAACUACUGGUAAAAGUUUUUAUUCUUAAGUACUUUUUUUCAGACAGAUUGUAAAGAUUGUGCUUUUUUUGCACUGAAUUUAAAAAAACAAUGCCAAUGGAAAAAUCCUUGUAGUGAGACUUCUGAGAGACAAGAUAGAGACACGUGCACUUGCCAGAUCUUUGCAGAAACCUCUUUACAAAACACUGCUUUUCCUACUGUAAGACCUAUGGAAGGAAGAAAUUAGUCCCAGGAAGGAAAGGAGCAAAUCUGGGCUGCACGCCUGGCAUUUCUCUGCUAUGCUGGUCAAGAUUCAGCCUGGACUUUGAAGCAACUCCAUGGGGGGGUAUAAGGUCCACAGAGUCUGUUGGCAGAAAAAUGCCUGAUCACUUGGUGUUGAACCAACCAAUGCCUUCUGAGGAAGCCACCUAAUGUUCUGUCCAAGAGAUCAGUGUGCAUUCACAGACCAAAAAAAGGAAACGUGAGAGACAGAUGAUAUGUUGCCAGAAUUAGUCAUUGCUACACCAAGUAUGCAUUGGACGCAGGACUUGCCUCAGUUCAACAACCUGAAAUGCAAGUUCCCUAUUCCAAUUUCACAUGCUUUUAAUGAUAGUGUGUUAAUGUCUCCUUCAGUUUUGGGCAUGACCUUUCUGAAGUGUCUGUUUCUGUUUCUCACCUGUUCAUUGAGCCAAAAAACAGCUGUUUGUGAAUUUUAGAAGGGGGUGCAACGGACAGAGCAGAUGAAAGAUUUUCUGUAUUAAUUGAUAUGACCCUGAAUGAAUGCAGUUGAGCGAUCUGCACUAUUUUGUACUGCUCAUAUUUACCAGUUGCUGUGCCUGGUUCAAGGAACAAGCCUACAACCCUGCCAUGGUGAAGCUGGCCAGCCUAUUUUAACCCACUCAGACACACCCAUCUAAAUAAAACACUCCCUCUCCAAAAACCUCCUGCUUCUUUCUGCACCAAGCCCUCUCACUGCAAUCCUUCCCUGUGCAAUCUAUCUCAACAAAUCCCUUUUGCUGCCUUUGAGGUUUCUUGCUCCAAAUCAGUACUUCUGUGUGUGAAAGGUCCCCAGACUGGAGUGGUGGGGCAGCAGCAGGACAACCCCCCAACCUAUGUCACCUGCUGCAGAUUGCUCUCCAGGUGUGGUGCAUUAGAUCCUGCUGUUGCCAUCCACUUGGGCAGGCUGCUCUGAAAACACCUGGGGGUUACAAGCUGAGGUCAGAGAGGUGAAAUGGUCUGGGAGAAGGCAGUUCUGACAGUAAGUUAAAGCCUAAGUGGGUUGGGCCUGCAUUUACCCUUCAGGAUGAUGAGGAGAGGGUGCUGAGGUGCUGCUAGGGCAGAAUGGGGUAUUUUGGUGUGCAGAGGGCCAUGUUGGCACCAUCCUGAAAACAGUGAGAAAGCCCUGCUCUGAGGCUGCUUAAUAAAUGGCUGCUGGUGGCUGUAAGACAUCUGGGAAACGUGAAAACUGCAGAUGGUGGAAAUAUGGUAUGUGGGAACACUGUCAAUUGCUCAGUCAGCCUUUAGGAACAAAGAUACAAAACUUCUACAGUUAGAGAUCCUCCCUUGGUGUCUUGGGAAAGAGUUUGUCGUCAGUGCACACCAGAGCUAAGCUCUUUAAAAAAAUAUCAUUAUUUCUGGAAGGGGAGGUUGAGUCACCUUCCAGUGUUAGGGAAAUCUGGUCACAGGUUUGUGCACCAGAGGAAAGAAGUGGCACGGUGUUGGCAGGUCACGUGGUCCAGUUCUGUCCAUCAGGUACAACAAUACCAUGAAGUAUGAUUUUGACACAGGAUUCUCACCUUGAAUUUAUAUUCUGUUUUACUACUGGAAAAUGAGCCAUGACUGUUAAUUAAGGACUGUUUCCAGUUUAGGGUUGCACUGUUUAUAAAUGUUCAGAUCCUCCACAUUUAAUCCAGUAUUGUCAUUCUACCACAGAUUUGGUCUUUACUAUGAGUUAUGAUGUUCAUGAUGUGCUGCUAUGUUUUAGCCUUGGUGUUAGUUUAAAUGUCUUUCAGUUUUCCUUUGUGCUGGUUCUUUUAACAGAACCUGGAGCAAGGGCCAUCUUUAUGAGAAUCUUAUACUUCAACCUGUAAUCAGGUAUAGUUGAGAAGGAGCUGUGAUGCCAAGUGCUGCUGCUUUCCUCUAGCAAAUGGAGAUGGUCAGUGUUACAUAUUUGAAGUAGCAUAUGUUCAUGUACAGAUGCAGUGUUGUUGACAGAUCAUUAUCAGUCAGCAUAAAUAAAUAAGAAGUUAAAUGAUACAAGGAAAGCACAGUGCAAAUUGCCAUCAAAUCUGUUCCCGGCUCUGCAGUGGAGGUUGUGUGGUAUGCUGAGUGAUGAUUGUAGGCUGCUAGCUACAUUGCUCUGGAAAGUGAUUUGGGGUCACAGUGAAAUCACACUGAAUUGUUGAAGUUGGGCCCAGAGGAUAACACACGCAGCCAUUCAAAAAGCACCAAGAAACUUCUGGUUACAGAUGGCACAAAUGGUGUUUUGUUAUGCUUGAGAUAAUGCAAACAUACCUGUGGCUGUUACUUACAUCUGUGACAAUUUCACAUUUCUAGACACUCACUGGAUGCUGCCCAUACUUUAACUUUUAUUUUUCUGCUUUUCUUAAUAUGCAAACUCCUUAAGAGCAUUCUAGGAAAGGUGUGGAUGCUGUACCUUUGAUUUGCCUUCUGACAAGCCUUGGAUGCUCCCCCCUUGCCUCUCAUGGAUUCCUCACAGGCAGCCCAUAGUCAUCUAGCAAUCUACAGUGUAAAAUAAUCACCAUCUACUUCUCCGAUAGCCAAAGGCCGAGGUAAUAUGAAUACUUUGGCCUACUCACCCAAAGUGCUCUCUUUUUUUUCCUACUUGGAGACUGAGGGUUUGUAGAAAAUAAUUUUCUGUUUGAAAGGAAGUGCUCCUUCAAUUCUGCAGCUUGAAGGGAGAUUGACAACUUAGCUUGCGGUUAACAAGGUUGCCACAAGCACUGACAAGAUUUGUCAUUGUUUCUGAAAACUAUCCUUAUAUGACAUGGCUAAUAAUAUUAGAAAAGCUUCAAGUUAUGUCAUUUGUUCAUGGGCAGGGGACUGUCAAAGUAAUUACAACUUCUCCACAGGAAGCCAUGCAUGCGUCUAAAAGCUCCAGACUUGCACUGUGUAUCCACAAGCAAUUCUGGUGAUGCUGAACAGGAAGCAACUCCAAGUUCUUGCAGUGCAACAUCAGUAAUAAAAGGAUUGAGUUCCACAGUAACUUGGUUUUAUAAGAUCAAGUGUAUAUAGCAUGGCAGUAAACUAAGGCCAGGAAUUAAGUUGAAGAAGGAUCUUAGCAUGUAAACCACAUGCUUUUGGAACAGCUUUUAGAGUGACACAACCUUCUCAUAACUCUUCAAGUUACUCUUUAAAAAAUUAUAUAUAUUUAUGAAGAGUUUAAAUAAUUAAAGCUGCCCCAAAUGGUAGACAGGGGUGUGUAUGUGCCUGGCCAGUGGUUUUCAGUCAUGAUCUGCAGUUAUGCAUAAUGAAAUCUGUGAUGGCAAAAUAUCUGCUUGCUUGUACCUGUAGCUCCUGUGAAAAGAAGGUGAGUUCUGAGUUUGUGCCCUGAUUGAUCAGGUGCUAUAGAUGUAGGGGGAGAGUACAUAUUAUGGCAGGUGUUGUAAGAAAGGCCCUUUUAGUUAUAGCUUCAGAAAUCUCUUUUCUUAGGUUGUAAACAUAUUCCUUUUCCUGAAUGCUCUGCAGAAGUGCACAAGAAAUGGGUUUGGAAGCAUUUGGUGUGCUAUAGGUUACUUGGUGAACUUGAAGGCAUUCCAGGAGUAAUAGAGAAUUUCUCUAUUCUCUGGGAAAUAGAGAGCGGUGUAGGAGCUUGCUUUUUGGAGGAGCGUGUGGCAGGCCUGAGGUUUUGUAACUGCUGUGUUCCAAAAAUGGUGCUUGUAUAAAUAAAUAACAUACCCUGUUUCAUAUGGUUUUCUUCCAGUGGGAAGCUGCCCUACAGUCCUCAGGAUUUUCUUAUCCCUGCUCAAGGGAGGAACAAAUUUUCUGUCCAGUUUUGGAUUUGUCUGCCCACUGGUUUCAGCUAAUUCAUGCGAACAAGACGGACUCAGCUUUACUGCCCAAGAUAGGCAAAAUAUGUGCAAAAGAAAUAUACUGGAAAUUCACCCAAAAGCUGAGUAGAAUUUCAUCACUUCAAGUCAAUUGUACAGCCAUUCUCCAAACUGCUCAGUUCCUUCAGUGAGGGAUUGGAAAGAGAUCUUGUAAAUGAAAAAGCAAACUGCUGGAAGGCAAACUGUUGUUAACAGCUGAUGUCUUGAAGGAAAUGAGUUUGCACUUGAUGGAAAAAGGCAGAAGGGCUAAUGGACACAAGCGUGGAUGUACCUUUGUAUCCUUUCCAUAAGGUGUGGGUGGGUGAAGGUUGCCCCAUGGUGGCAGAGACCCUGUACUUGCUGUGUCUAGCUGAUGUUUUCAUGGGUAAUGUGUCUCACUG